GACGAACGCUGGCGGCGUGCUUAACACAUGCAAGUCGAACGGAAAGGCCAUGCUUUUGUGGGGUGCUCGAGUGGCGAACGGGGGAGUAACACGUGAGUAACAUGCCCUUGACUUUGGGGUAACUUCAGGAAACUGGGGCUAAUACCGGAGAGGAGCUCCUGCUGCAUGGUGGGGGUUGGAAAGUUACGGCGGUGGGGGCUGGACUCGCUGCUUAUCCGCUGGAUGGGGGGGUAGUUGAGUACCAAGGCUUUGAAGGGUAGCCGGCCUGGGAGCGUGACCGGCCACCUGGGGCCUGCGAUACGCCCCAGUCGGCAACGGGAGGCAGCAGUGGGGAGUAUUGCACAAUGGGCGGAAGCCUGAGGCAGCAACGCCGCGUUCGUGAUGACGUCCUUCGGGUUGUGAACAGCUUUGGACUGUGACGAAGCCGGAGUGACGGUAAUGGGUAAAAAAGCAACGGCUAACUACGUG
RNAcentral lists this ribosomal RNA (468 nucleotides) under uncultured bacterium. RNAcentral's name for it is "partial 16S ribosomal RNA". It matches the Rfam family "Bacterial small subunit ribosomal RNA", at positions 28 to 507 of the family's 1533-position model. The record is from RNAcentral.